RNAcentral lists this ribosomal RNA (513 nucleotides) under uncultured bacterium. RNAcentral's name for it is "bacterial SSU rRNA". It matches the Rfam family "Bacterial small subunit ribosomal RNA", at positions 18 to 524 of the family's 1533-position model. The record is from RNAcentral.
CCUGGCUCAGAUUGAACGCUGGCGGCAGGCUUAACACAUGCAAGUCGAGCGGUAACAUUUCUAGCUUGCUAGAAGAUGACGAGCGGCGGACGGGUGAGUAAUACUUAGGAAUCUACCUAGUAGUGGGGGAUAGCACGGGGAAACUCGUAUUAAUACCGCAUACGACCUACGGGAGAAAGGGGGCAGUUUACUGCUCUCGCUAUUAGAUGAGCCUAAGUCGGAUUAGCUAGAUGGUGGGGUAAAGGCCUACCAUGGCGACGAUCUGUAGCUGGUCUGAGAGGAUGAUCAGCCACACCGGGACUGAGACACGGCCCGGACUCCUACGGGAGGCAGCAGUGGGGAAUAUUGGACAAUGGGGGAAACCCUGAUCCAGCCAUGCCGCGUGUGUGAAGAAGGCCUUUUGGUUGUAAAGCACUUUAAGCAGUGAAGAAGACUCCAUGGUUAAUACCCAUGGACGAUGACAUUAGCUGCAGAAUAAGCACCGGCUAACUCUGUGCCAGCAGCCGCGGUAAU